AGGCCAUCUCCCUUCCUGACUUUCUCCCCUUUCUCCUGGGGGAUUUGAGUAUAUAUGAUUUGAGGGAAAGGAACUGAGAGUGGGUUUGAGGGGUAAAGUUUCUAGGAGUGAAAGAGCAAAGAUUUUUCCCCAAGAGAAGGAACAGAUGUCUGCAGUUUUUGGGAUACCUGUCACGGUGCUCUGGGGUCCAUCCUCCACAGAACCUCAGGAAGAUGACAGGCCGCCCAGAGGUACCAACUCCAUGAUAACAAAACGAGAGAACCAUGCUGCUGAGGGAAAGCUCUAGAGUUGGCUGGCUUGUCAAGUUUCUCCUCACAUUUGCCAUCCCCACUUCAUUUCCUGACUUGUAAACAGGCGGGAUGAGAGCAGGUGACUGAUGAGUUUGAUAACCAGCGAGCUCUGCUGUGCUCAGCAUAUCCUGUUAUUGUGAAUCUCAAGUCCUGCUUUGGCAUCGGCUGCU
RNAcentral lists this long non-coding RNA (460 nucleotides) under Vulpes vulpes (red fox). RNAcentral describes it as "lncRNA (ENSVVUG00000001881.1)". Lineage: Eukaryota; Metazoa; Chordata; Mammalia; Carnivora; Canidae. The record is from RNAcentral.